CCUACGGGAGGCAGCAGUGGGGAAUUUUGGACAAUGGGCGAAAGCCUGAUCCAGCCAUUCCGCGUGCAGGAUGAAGGCCCUCGGGUUGUAAACUGCUUUUGUACAGAACGAAAAGGUUUCUAUUAAUACUAGGAGCUCAUGACGGUACUGUAAGAAUAAGCACCGGCUAACUACGUGCCAGCAGCCGCGGUAAUACGUAGGGUGCAAGCGUUAAUCGGAAUUACUGGGCGUAAAGCGUGCGCAGGCGGUUAUAUAAGUCAGAUGUGAAAUCCCCGGGCUCAACCUGGGAACUGCAUUUGAGACUGUAUAGCUAGAGUACGGUAGAGGGGGAUGGAAUUCCGCGUGUAGCAGUGAAAUGCGUAGAUAUGCGGAGGAACACCGAUGGCGAAGGCAAUCCCCUGGACCUGUACUGACGCUCAUGCACGAAAGCGUGGGGAGCAAACAGGAUUAGAUACCCUGGUAGUCCACGCCCUAAACGAUGUCAACUGGUUGUUGGGUCUUAACUGACUCAGUAACGAAGCUAACGCGUGAAGUUGACCGCCUGGGGAGUACGGCCGCAAGGUUGAAACGUCAAAUGAAUUGACGGCUGAGAGNGCGAGACGACGACGAGGGAGGAGG
Molecule: ribosomal RNA, 618 nt
Filed under: uncultured bacterium
Lineage: Bacteria
Description: bacterial SSU rRNA
Rfam family: Bacterial small subunit ribosomal RNA
Source: RNAcentral